Molecule: long non-coding RNA, 391 nt
Organism: Mytilus trossulus (common blue mussel)
Lineage: Eukaryota; Metazoa; Mollusca; Bivalvia; Mytilida; Mytilidae
Exons: 3
Source: RefSeq, a predicted model, not a curated record
UUUCACAUUUAAAAUUUAACUGUUCCCGAUGAUCAACGGACAUGAUCCAAAGAAAUUUUGGAACCAGUAACCGGAAGUUUUAUUUAUUGCCAUGCUGUAAACAAAGACAAAGGAAACGUACAAAAUAAAGAAUAACCUUAUCAUGCGUUAAAACUGGAUCAAUUAGACGUUCCAAAAUUUAUGAUAAAUUUUCUGAAAUGCAGAUUAAAAUGGAGAAUGGAAAUGGGGAUUUUAAAGAAGAAUAUAAGCUUAGAAAUGACUUCAACCAUCCUGGAAGAGCAAAUUUUUAUGAAGAAGCCAGCAGAUGUCAAAGGAAAUAAAAGGAAUGGAAGAAAGGAACCUUUGAAAAAGAACAGUGAUAUGAAAAUAUUGAAUAAAUGUUUUGCAUUUA